GAUGAACGCUGGCGGCGUGCCUAAUACAUGCAAGUCGAGCGAACGGACGAGGAGCUUGCGUCUCUGAUGUUAGCGGCGGACGGGUGAGUAACACGUGGAUAACCUACCUAUAAGACUGGGAUAACUUCGGGAAACCGGAUCUAAUACCGGAUAAUAUUUUGAACCGCAGGGUUCAAAAGUGAAAGACGGUCUUGCUGUCACUUAUAGAUGGAUCCGCGCUGCAUUAGCUAGUUGGUAAGGUAACGGCUUACCAAGGCAACGAUGCAUAGCCGACCUGAGGGGGUGAUCGGCCACACUGGAACUGAGACACGGUCCAGACUCCUACGGGAGGCAGCAGUAGGGAAUCUUCCGCAAUGGGCGAAAGCCUGACGGAGCAACGCCGCGUGAGUGAUGAAGGUCUUCGGAUCGUAAAACUCUGUUAUUAGGGAAGAACAUAUGUGUAAGUAACUGUGCACAUCUUGACGGUACCUAAUCAGAAAGCCCCGGCUAACUACGUG
Molecule: ribosomal RNA, 497 nt
Filed under: uncultured bacterium
Lineage: Bacteria
Description: partial 16S ribosomal RNA
Rfam family: Bacterial small subunit ribosomal RNA
Source: RNAcentral